UCGUCCUCUCAUAAGUGUUCAAGAAAUAGUGGUAACGAUAUAUAGAGGAAUCAUAUAUCAUAACUGCCGUAAAAAUCAUUAAGUCGGUGUUGUGUUGUAUAUGAGGAUUCGGAUAGAUAUGUUUUGGGAAUUCAUUUUUGAAAUCCUUUUUGUGCAUUCGGAUCAACAUCCGAAAUUAGAUAACUUGCCCCCAUAUUUAAUUCCAUUAGUAUAUCCCGAAUUAGACUUAUACCCUUCUGCAGAUCUUUUACAGAAAGUGUUACAAGCACAAUUCCAACGAAAGGAUUUAAUGUGUAGCUCAUUAUCUUACUACGC
This 315-nucleotide long non-coding RNA is filed under the name Mytilus galloprovincialis (Mediterranean mussel). The record is from RNAcentral. Lineage: Eukaryota; Metazoa; Mollusca; Bivalvia; Mytilida; Mytilidae.